RNAcentral lists this ribosomal RNA (253 nucleotides) under uncultured bacterium. RNAcentral's name for it is "partial 16S ribosomal RNA". It matches the Rfam family "Bacterial small subunit ribosomal RNA", at positions 524 to 776 of the family's 1533-position model. The record is from RNAcentral.
UACGUGGGGUGCGAGCGUUGUUCGGAAUUACUGGGCGUAAAGCGUGUGUAGGCGGCUCGUCAAGUCUGAUGUGAAAUCUCUGGGCUUAACCCAGAAACUGCAUCGGAAACUAGCGGGCUAGAGUGAGGCAGAGGAGCGCGGAAUUCCCGGUGUAGUGGUGGAAUGCGUAGAUAUCGGGAGGAACACCAGUGGCGAAAGCGGCGCUCUGGGCCUAAACUGACGCUGAGGCGCGAAAGCGUGGGGAGCAAACAGG